AAGUCGUAACAAGGUUUCCGUAGGUGAACCUGCGGAAGGAUCAUUAUUGAAUAAAUCUGGCGUGGUAGAUGCUGACUCUUCGGAGUAUGUGCUCACCCGUCACCUUUAUCUUUCCACCUGUGAACCCUUUGUAGUCCCAGGAUACUCUCGCGCACUCUGUGUUGCGGAUGCGAAGGUUGUUGUGCCUUUUAGGUCGACGUCCCUCGAAUUUCCUGGGUCUAUGUAUCUUACACACCCCAACUGUAUGUUAAAAAGAAUGUUGAUUUCAAAGGCCUACAAGCCUAUAGAAACUCAAUACAACUUUCAGCAACGGAUCUCUUGGCUCUC
Molecule: unclassified non-coding RNA, 327 nt
Filed under: air metagenome
Description: partial contains small subunit ribosomal RNA, internal transcribed spacer 1, and 5.8S ribosomal RNA
Rfam family: Eukaryotic small subunit ribosomal RNA (bases 1-46)
Source: RNAcentral